AACGAACGCUGGCGGCAGGCUUAACACAUGCAAGUCGAACGCCCCGCAAGGGGAGUGGCAGACGGGUGAGUAACGCGUGGGAAUCUACCGUACCCUACGGAACAACAGUUGGAAACGACUGCUAAUACCGUAUACGCCCUUCGGGGGACAGAUUUAUCGGGGUAUGAUGAGCCCGCGUUGGAUUAGCUAGUUGGUGGGGUAAAGGCCUACCAAGGCGACGAUCCAUAGCUGGUCUGAGAGGAUGAUCAGCCACAUUGGGACUGAGACACGGCCCAAACUCCUACGGGAGGCAGCAGUGGGGAAUAUUGGACAAUGGGCGCAAGCCUGAUCCAGCCAUGCCGCGUGAGUGAUGAAGGUCUUAGGAUUGUAAAGCUCUUUCACCGAUGAAGAUAAUGACGGUAGUCGGAGAAGAAGCCCCGGCUAACUUCGUGCCAGCCGCCGCCGUAA
RNAcentral lists this ribosomal RNA (447 nucleotides) under uncultured bacterium. RNAcentral's name for it is "partial 16S ribosomal RNA". It matches the Rfam family "Bacterial small subunit ribosomal RNA", at positions 29 to 523 of the family's 1533-position model. The record is from RNAcentral.